Molecule: signal recognition particle RNA, 248 nt
Filed under: Clostridiales bacterium
Lineage: Bacteria; Bacillati; Bacillota; Clostridia; Eubacteriales
Description: partial signal recognition particle sRNA large type
Rfam family: Bacterial large signal recognition particle RNA
About the family: The signal recognition particle (SRP) is a universally conserved ribonucleoprotein involved in the co-translational targeting of proteins to membranes. Archaeal SRP consists of a 7S RNA and homologues of the eukaryotic SRP19 and SRP54 proteins.
Source: RNAcentral
GCGGAUCCCUGUACUCGCAAUCCGCUAUAGCGGGGGUGAUGCCUGCAAUAGGCUCCUCUCUUGUGGGGCCAAUGGCCCUGUCCGUGAAGUGUUGACAAUUAAGUCCCGCGCAAUAGCUGCUUGUGAACCGCGUCAGGUCCGGAAGGAAGCAGCGCUAAGCAAAUACGGCUAUGUGCCGCGGGGGUGCUUGAUUCGAGCUGAGCGGCGGGAUACCGCCCGGAAGGGAAUGCCAACCUGCGGGCGCACGG